UUCCCCACUGCUCCCCGUUUCCAUGGCAUGGCCUCUUCCUGCUUCAGGGCCAGCUGAGUCUUCCUCAUCCAUCUGGGCUCUCCGGAAGUCUCCAAGAGAUCGGAAGGAGCCCCUUGGUCCUCUGCCAAGUUCUGUGGGUACUAAUGCAAGGUGCAGAAAAUCGUAUGAAUCAAACACACUAUUCUAUUGUAAGAUGAAGAGGAGGAGAAUGUUUCCUGAGGAAGCGUGGCUGAGUCUUGCUAGGAACCAGGGCUGGAUUGCACCACAGCUCAGACUCCAAGCUGUAUGGGGGGGAAAGGGGGAGGGAGAAGUCAUAACUGUGAGUGACAAGUGAGUGUAAUCUGGAGCCAGGGCAACAGUGGGGGUCUCUCCCAAACCCACUUCAUAGUCCAGAGCUUCGCCCCAACCCAACCAUCUCUGCUUGGGUGGCUUGGUGAGCAGCAGGGCCCAUGUCUAGCUCCAGCCACCGUCCCUUGGGGACUUCCUGCUCUGGAUCCGAGGGGACGGUGGCAAGGCCCUCUGGGUGGAACUGCCCUGGAAGACGCCUCGGAAACUGGACUUUCCAUCAAAUAAAGAAUUAGGGAGGGAAAAUGGCCGACAUACAGAGAUUUAUGAAUAGAGAGAGAAGGGAAGCUUUGUGGUAUUUCCCUCUUAAUAUACUUCUCCCUCAUAAUAAUGUCCCUCAUAAUAUCCCCUUCUCCCUCAUAAUAAUGUCCCUCUUAAUAUACUUCUCCCUCAGAAUAAUGUCCCUCUUAAUAUACUUCUCCCUCAUAAUAAUGUCCCUCUUAAUAUACUUCUCCCUCAUGUCCCUCUUAAUAUCCUUCUCCCUCAGAAUAAUGUCCCUCUUAAUAUCCUUCUCCCUCAUAAUUAUGUCCCUCUUAAUAUACUUCUCCCUCAUAAUAAUGUCCCUCUUAAUAUCCUUCUCCCUCACAAUUAUGUCCCUCUUAAUAUCCUUCUCCCUCACAAUUAUGUCCCUCCUAAUAUACUUCUCCCUCAUGUCCCUCUUAAUAUACUUCUCCCUCAUAAUAAUGUCCCUCUUAAUAUACUUCUCCCUCAUGUCCCUCUUAAUAUCCUUCUCCCUCAUAAUAAUGUCCCUCCUAAUAUACUUCUCCCUCAUAAUAAUCUCCCUCUUAAUAUACUUCUCCCUCACAAUAAUGUCCCUCUUAAUGUCCUUCUCCCUCAUGUCCCUCUUAAUAUACUUCUCCCUCAUAAUAAUGUCCCUCUUAAUAUACUUCUCCCUCAUAAUAAUGUCCCUCUUAAUAUACUUCUCCCUCACAAUAAUGUCCCUCUUAAUAUCCUUCUCCCUCAUGUCCCUCUUAAUAUACUUCUCCCUCAUAAUAAUGUCCCUCUUAAUAUCCUUCUCCCUCACAAUAAUGUCCCUCCGAAUGUCCUUCUCCCUCAUGUCCCUCUUAAUGUCCUUCUCCCUCAUAAUAAUGUCCCUCUUAAUAUACUUCUCCCUCAGAAUGUCCCUCUUAAUAUACUUCUCCCUCAGAAUAAUGUCCCUCUUAAUAUACUUCUCCCUCAUAAUAAUGUCCCUCUUAAUAUCCUUCUCCCUCAUAAUAAUGUCCCUCCGAAUGUCCUUCUCCCUCAUGUCCCUCUUAAUAUCCUUCUCCCUCAUAAUAAUGUCCCUCCGAAUGUCCUUCUCCCUCAUGUCCCUCUUAAUAUCCUUCUCCCUCAUAAUAAUGUCCCUCUUAAUAUCCUUCUCCCUCACAAUAAUGUCCCUCCCAAUGUCCUUCUCCCUCACAAUAAUGUCCCUCCCAAUGUCCUUCUCCCUCACAAUAAUGUCCCUCCGAGUGUCCUUCUCCCUCCGCACUGUCUUCCAGUCCCACCUCCCUGGCCAGGGCCUGAGGUCCCUCUGCCUCCCUCCCGGACCCCCCAGCCUCUCUUCCCUCCCCUUCCCGCCUCCCGGGGCAGGGAGUUCCCCAGGCUUCCCCCGAGAGGAGACCCACCAGAGCCCGGCAGGCGAAGGCGAGGCCGGAA
This 1980-nucleotide long non-coding RNA is filed under the name Podarcis lilfordi (Lilford's wall lizard). Lineage: Eukaryota; Metazoa; Chordata; Lepidosauria; Squamata; Lacertidae. The record is from RNAcentral.